UCCCGCCUGCCCGGUGACUUGUUAAACGGCCGCGGUAUUUUGACCGUGCGAAGGUAGCGCAAUCACUUGUCUUUUAAAUGAAGACCCGUAUGAAUGGCAUAACGAGGGCCAAGCUGUCUCCUUUUUCCAGUCAAUGAAAUUGAUUUCCCCGUGCAGAAGCGAGGAUAAAGACAUAAGACGAGAAGACCCUAUGAAGCUUUAGACAAAAGGCAGCCCACCUAAAAGCCCAAACUCACCGCCGCUAAUAAAAAGGCCCCUGCCCUCCUGUCUUUGGUUGGGGCGACCGCGGGGAAAUAAAAAUCCCCCAUGUGGAAUGGAAAUUCCAAAACAAGAGCCACCACUCUAAGUACCAGAACAUCUGACCACAAGACCCGGCACAGCCGAUCAACGGAACGAGUUACUCUAGGGAUAACAGCGCAAUCCCCUUCUAGAGUCCAUAUCGACAAGGGGGUUUACGACCUCGAUGUUGGAUCAGGACAUCCUAAUGGUGCAGCAGCUAUUAAGGGUUCGUUUGUUCAACGAUUAAAGUCCUACGUGAUCUGAGUUCAAACCG
RNAcentral lists this ribosomal RNA (553 nucleotides) under Redigobius sp. RediF. RNAcentral describes it as "partial 16S ribosomal RNA". It matches the Rfam family "Bacterial large subunit ribosomal RNA", at positions 1853 to 2618 of the family's 2925-position model. The record is from RNAcentral. Lineage: Eukaryota; Metazoa; Chordata; Actinopteri; Gobiiformes; Gobiidae.